RNAcentral lists this ribosomal RNA (446 nucleotides) under uncultured bacterium. RNAcentral describes it as "partial 16S ribosomal RNA". It matches the Rfam family "Bacterial small subunit ribosomal RNA", at positions 338 to 795 of the family's 1533-position model. The record is from RNAcentral.
CCUACGGGCGGCAGCAGUCGAGAAUCAUUCACAAUGGGGGAAACCCUGAUGGUGCGACGCCGCGUGGGGGAAUGAAGGUCUUCGGAUUGUAAACCCCUGUCAUGUGGGAGCAAAUUAAAAAGAUAGUACCACAAGAGGAAGAGACUGCUAACUCUGUGCCAGCAGCCGCGGUAAUACAGAGGUCUCAAGCGUUGUUCGGAAUCACUGGGCGUAAGGCGUGCGUAGGCUGUUUCGUAAGUCGUGUGUGAAAGGCGCGGGCUCAACCCGCGGACGGCACAUGAUACUGCGAGACUAGAGUAAUGGAGGGGGAACCGGAAUUCUCGGUGUAGCAGUGAAAUGCGUAGAUAUCGAGAGGAACACUCGUGGCGAAGGCGGGUGCCUGGACAUUAACUGACGCUGAGGCACGAAGGCCAGGGGAGCGAAAGGGAUUAGAUACCCGAGUAGUC